UCCAGUGUGCAGAGAUUUCCCUUCUGGCCAUCUUGGCUGCCAUUCAGGCUGUGGGGAAGGUGGAACGCCGGGCCCAUCCGACUUCAGAGCCUGGAGAGGUGAACAGAGACAGCCGAGAAGAAGCUGGCUGACUGUGAGAAGAUGGCUGUGGAGAUAAAGAGUCCGCUGGAGGGCAAGUUGGGACCCUGCUGCAGGAGCACGGGAUGCUGCAGAGGUGGCUGGAGAACAUGGAGGGUCUGCGAGGAACAGGCAGCAAGGGGAGCCCCGCAAGGUUCGGUGGGACGAUUGAUUUGGUCACAGUCUUCUGCCCACAGCCGGAGGUGGUAGAGGUUCAGGGCCCCUCUUGUUGACUGGAGAAGACCCAGGCCGCCCGGAAGGAGACUUCUCAGCGCGCCAAGCUCCGGCCUGAGCCCGGGCCGCCCCGUUGCUUCUGCUCCAUCUGCCCUUUUCCGGCUUUUGGUCUCGUCGUCCUCCUCCUCGUCUUCGCCGCCUCUCUCUCCUCUUCCCACCGCUCUGAUGCCCCUCGGGGCUCUGCUCCCCUAACCGCGCAGACCUUGGCUUGUCUGCCAGCUGCAUCAAGCAGUGUCCUUUUCGAACUCCUUCCUUGAGAGGUAAACGGAAGACCAGGCCUAGUAAAUAAAAGGUGAACCGUUUAUUUCCAAAAAUGAAAUAGGUGACGGUAGCUAAGAAAACUGCGAAAGUAAUAACAGAAGCGACACUGGAGGACUUUUCCACUGUAAAUAUUAGAACAUCUGCUAAAACAGCGCAAGGCAGCCAGACCUGGGAGAACACCAUAGUAUAUGUACCCACGUAAUAAAAGAUCAUCGCGAGUGCCUCCUGAGCGCUGAGGACGUCCACAGCCCUCUGGGAGCGGGCUGUGAUUGCUACCCCAGGGGCACAGCGGAGGAACCCGAGGGGGCAGGAUGCGAAAUAAGCUGUCGGGGCUUACUUAACCACACACUUAACCACGGCGUUUUACUGCCCCGACGUAGAGCAGUCACGAAUUCAGACGGGAAAGGAAAGGUUAUUUACAUAAAUCAAGCUAGGAGAGUUUAAUUGGCCAUUUGGGAAAAAUAAUUAAAGUAGCAACUAAACUUCUUUUUGUAUAUCAAAAUACAGUCCAAGUGGAUUAAAGCACUGUGUAUAACAAAACCGAACAUAAAGUAUGAGAGAAUAUAAAUGAAUAUCUAACUAAUUUCUGAACAGCAGGGAAGGCAUGGAAGAAAUCCGAACAGAAAAUGUCAGUAGUUAUUUAAACAUUAAGAGUUUAGGAAUAUGAACAAAAUUGAAAGGUUAAUAGCAAGUUGGGAUUAUAGCAAAUUUCCAUCAUUUACAACAGACAAAAUGCUGCAGAUAAAUAUCCUUAAUAUGUAAAGGGUCCACUUAGGCCAUCAAGGAUGUGCUCAAUCUCAGUAAAUCAGGGUAAAUUUUAGGAAGACCAAAGAAAUGCAAAUUAAAACAUAACAUUUUUCACCUAUCAAAUUAGGAAAACAAAACAGUAAUUAUCAUAUUAGUACUGUAAAUUGGUACAAUCUUUCUUGAGGGGAAGGGCAGUGUAAAACCAGAG
This is a long non-coding RNA of Delphinapterus leucas (beluga whale), 1567 nucleotides long. The record is from Ensembl. Lineage: Eukaryota; Metazoa; Chordata; Mammalia; Artiodactyla; Monodontidae.